RNAcentral lists this ribosomal RNA (497 nucleotides) under uncultured bacterium. Its description in RNAcentral is "partial 16S ribosomal RNA". It matches the Rfam family "Bacterial small subunit ribosomal RNA", at positions 28 to 507 of the family's 1533-position model. The record is from RNAcentral.
GAUGAACGCUGGCGGCGUGCCUAAUACAUGCAAGUCGAGCGAACAGACGAGGAGUUUGCUCCUCUGACGUUAGCGGCGGACGGGUGAGUAACACGUGGAUAACCUACAUAUAAGACUGGGAUAACUUCGGGAAACCGGAGCUAAUACCGGAUAAUAUAUUGAACCGCAUGGUUCAAUAGUGAAAGACGGUUUUGCUGUCACUUAUAGAUGGAUCCGCGCCGCAUUAGCUAGUUGGUAAGGUAACGGCUUACCAAGGCAACGAUGCGUAGCCGACCUGAGAGGGUGAUCGGCCACACUGGAACUGAGACACGGUCCAGACUCCUACGGGAGGCAGCAGUAGGGAAUCUUCCGCAAUGGGCGAAAGCCUGACGGAGCAACGCCGCGUGAGUGAUGAAGGUCUUCGGAUCGUAAAACUCUGUUAUUAGGGAAGAACAAAUGUGUAAGUAACUAUGCACGUCUUGACGGUACCUAAUCAGAAAGCCACGGCUAACUACGUG